GUGACCCCAGGAUGGGCGAGGCUACCCGC
This 29-nucleotide ribosomal RNA is filed under the name Dendrobium crepidatum. Its description in RNAcentral is "partial 26S ribosomal RNA". The record is from RNAcentral. Lineage: Eukaryota; Viridiplantae; Streptophyta; Magnoliopsida; Asparagales; Orchidaceae.